RNAcentral lists this ribosomal RNA (439 nucleotides) under uncultured bacterium. RNAcentral's name for it is "partial 16S ribosomal RNA". It matches the Rfam family "Bacterial small subunit ribosomal RNA", at positions 339 to 795 of the family's 1533-position model. The record is from RNAcentral.
CUACGGGGGGCAGCAGUGAGGAAUAUUGCACAAUGGGGGAAACCCUGAUGCGGCAACGCCGCGUGGAGGAUGACGCAUUUCGGUGUGUAAACUCCCUUUAUCAGAGAAGAAAAUGACGGUAUCUGAUGAAUAAGCUCCGGCUAACUCCGUGCCAGCAGCCGCGGUAAUACGGAGGGAGCAAGCGUUAUUCGGAAUCACUGGGCGUAAAGGACGCGUAGGCGGGUUUUUAAGUCAGGUGUGAAAUCCUAUGGCUCAACCAUAGAACUGCACUUGAAACUGGGGACCUAGAGUAUGGAAGGGGCAGGUGGAAUUAGUGGUGUAGGGGUAAAAUCCGUAGAUAUCACUAGGAAUACCGAAAGCGAAGGCGACCUGCUGGGACAUUACUGACGCUGAGGCGUGAAAGCGUGGGGAGCAAACAGGAUUAGAUACCCCAGUAGUC